GUGAAUCAUCGAAUUUUUGAACGCAAAUUGCACUCUCUUGGGAGAGUAUGGCUGUUUGAGUGUGAGCCUAAAAAAAAUCGACAUAGUCGCUGUUACGCGGUAACAUUAGGGGGAACUUGGGUCAUUUUAAACAUUUGGGGGUAAGCGGCGUACAAUUUUCUUUAAGAUUCCAAGAACGUGUAUUAGAU
RNAcentral lists this unclassified non-coding RNA (188 nucleotides) under Glomeromycetes sp. Its description in RNAcentral is "partial contains 5.8S ribosomal RNA and internal transcribed spacer 2". The stretch from base 1 to 65 matches the Rfam family "5.8S ribosomal RNA", at positions 84 to 154 of the family's 154-position model. The record is from RNAcentral. Lineage: Eukaryota; Fungi; Glomeromycota; Glomeromycetes.